This 379-nucleotide ribosomal RNA is filed under the name uncultured cyanobacterium. RNAcentral's name for it is "bacterial SSU rRNA". It matches the Rfam family "Bacterial small subunit ribosomal RNA", at positions 376 to 770 of the family's 1533-position model. The record is from RNAcentral. Lineage: Bacteria; Bacillati; Cyanobacteriota.
CGAAAGCCUGACGGAGCAACGCCGCGUGAGGGAUGAAGGCCUCUGGGCUGUAAACCUCCUUUCUCAAGGAAGAAGAUCUGACGGUACUUGAGGAAUAAGCCACGGCUAAUUCCGUGCCAGCAGCCGCGGUAAUACGGGAGUGGCAAGCGUUAUCCGGAAUUAUUGGGCGUAAAGCGUCCGCAGGCGGCCUUGUAAGUCUGUCGUCAAAGCGUGGAGCUUAACUCCAUUUAAGCGAUGGAAACUGCAAGGCUAGAGUGUGGUAGGGGCAGAGGGAAUUCCCGGUGUAGCGGUGAAAUGCGUAGAUAUCGGGAAGAACACCAGUGGCGAAGGCGCUCUGCUGGGCCAUAACUGACGCUCAUGGACGAAAGCCAGGGGAGCA